GAUGAACGCUAGCUACAGGCUUAACACAUGCAAGUCGAGGGGAAACGACAUCGAAAGCUUGCUUUUGAUAGGCGUCGACCGGCGCACGGGUGAGUAACGCGUAUCCAACCUGCCCAUCACUUGGGAAUAACCUUGCGAAAGUAAGACUAAUACCCAAUGAUAUCCCACGAAGGCAUCGGAAUGGGAUUAAAGAUUUAUCGGUGAUGGAUGGGGAUGCGUCUGAUUAGCUUGUUGGCGGGGUAACGGCCCACCAAGGCAACGAUCAGUAGGGGUUCUGAGAGGAAGGUCCCCCACAUUGGAACUGAGACACGGUCCAAACUCCUACGGGAGGCAGCAGUGAGGAAUAUUGGUCAAUGGGCGAGAGCCUGAACCAGCCAAGUAGCGUGCAGGAAGACGGCCCUAUGGGUUGUAAACUGCUUUUAUAAGGGAAUAAAGUGGGUCACGUGUGACUUUUUGCAUGUACCUUAUGAAUAAGGACCGGCUAAUUCCGUG
This 492-nucleotide ribosomal RNA is filed under the name uncultured bacterium. RNAcentral describes it as "partial 16S ribosomal RNA". It matches the Rfam family "Bacterial small subunit ribosomal RNA", at positions 28 to 507 of the family's 1533-position model. The record is from RNAcentral.